CUAGGUGUAGCUUAACGGAAAGCACUGCCUUUGGGCGGCAGAAGUUGUAGGUUCGAAUCCUUCCACUUAGACCA
This 74-nucleotide transfer RNA is filed under the name Bacteroidota bacterium. RNAcentral describes it as "Bacteroidetes bacterium tRNA-Pro". It matches the Rfam family "tRNA". Rfam says of the family: Transfer RNA (tRNA) molecules are approximately 80 nucleotides in length. Their secondary structure includes four short double-helical elements and three loops (D, anti-codon, and T loops). Further hydrogen bonds mediate the characteristic L-shaped molecular structure. tRNAs have two regions of fundamental functional importance: the anti-codon, which is responsible for specific mRNA codon recognition, and the 3' end, to which the tRNAs corresponding amino acid is attached (by aminoacyl-tRNA synthetases). tRNAs cope with the degeneracy of the genetic code in two manners: having more than one tRNA (with a specific anti-codon) for a particular amino acid; and 'wobble' base-pairing, i.e. permitting non-standard base-pairing at the 3rd anti-codon position. The record is from RNAcentral. Lineage: Bacteria; Pseudomonadati; Bacteroidota.